GACGAACGCUGGCGGCGUGCUUAACACAUGCAAGUCGAACGGUAAGGCCCUUCGGGGUACACGAGUGGCGAACGGGUGAGUAACACGUGGGUGAUCUGCCCUGCACUUCGGGAUAAGCCUGGGAAACUGGAUCUAAUACCGGAUAGGACUCCUGGCUUCAUGGUUGGGGGUGGAAAGCUUUUGCGGUGUGGGAUGGGCCCGCGGCCUAUCAGCUUGUUGGUGGGGUAAUGGCCUACCAAGGCGACGACGGGUAGCCGGCCUGAGAGGGUGACCGGUCACACUGGGACUGAGAUACGGCCCAGACUCCUACGGGAGGCAGCAGUGGGGAAUAUUGCACAAUGGGCGCAAGCCUGAUGCAGCGACGCCGCGUGAGGGAUGACGGCCUUCGGGUUGUAAACCUCUUUCAGCUAUGACGAAGCGCAAGUGACGGUAGCAGCAGAAGAAGGACCGGCCAACUACGUGCCAGCAGCCGCGGUAA
This 478-nucleotide ribosomal RNA is filed under the name uncultured bacterium. RNAcentral's name for it is "partial 16S ribosomal RNA". It matches the Rfam family "Bacterial small subunit ribosomal RNA", at positions 28 to 523 of the family's 1533-position model. The record is from RNAcentral.